GGGGAAAGUGCAGAAUGAGUGGGGUGGUGUAUAGCGGUCCAUUGGAAAAAGGUAGUGCUCCUAAAGACCUUUUUUGUUUUUCUAAAGACUUUGUGAUAUAAUAAUCUGAGAAUUUUUCUGUAGAGCACACUUUAAAACUUUGUGGUUGUAACCCACAGUAAAAAAUGCAUUUAUAUCAAAACUCAGUUUAUUUAUAAUGGAGAAUACUAUUACGUAUAGUGUACUCCGAUAUUUUUUAUUUGUUUUUAAAAUAUUGCUGGUUGCAACCUACCAAAUUGAUUUCAUAAUCUACCAAUGGUUGUGACCCUUUGUUUGAAAAGAAGAAAACACCCCAUGGAGAAACUGAUAUUUAUUGAAUAUCUUCUGUUUUCCAGGCACUUCACUAGGCAUUUUACAGGUAAGGAAACAGAGUCUCAGAGAAGUUAAAUGACUUACAGAGGGUUAUUCAGCUGUGAAAUGUUGAAGCCAGGGGAUGUUAACUGGGUCUCUUGAACUACAAAAAUCUGUUAUUCCUCCACUAUGCUACUUCUGUACAUAAAAUCGAGGUGGGCCAUUCAUCCUGCUUCACCCGAACACCAGUAUAUUCUGUAAGGCAGGCUUGCUGUGAAAUUACAUGUGCAUUUGCAGUUUUUUGUUUUUAGUCUUUUCAGGAACUGUCCUGCAGCCUCUAAGUUUUUAAUAGUGGCUGAUGCAGAAGUACCUAGUGCUGAAUUUGGUCCUUAGACUGUAAAAUUAAAAAUGCUUCUAACCCACCUACAUGUCCUACAAAUUUCCUUGUAUACCAUGGGUUAUAGCCAUCUCUUCAGCGAUGCUUUUUGUAUUAAAAAUGAAAUGUUUUUUUCUUAAACCUAUCAUAACUCAUAGAAUCAAAUAAUUGCUAUCUUUUAAAAUGGUACUCUUGGGAAGUCACGUACUUACACUAGUGACACUAUUAUUAGAACAUUUUUGAAACUUUUCUUUUGGAAUUGCCUCCAAAGACAUUUUGCAAAGUAAAUAGAAGAGCCAUCUCCGUGUGUAUUAGUCAUGGAUUACACCCCGUUGUCCUUAUGACCUCUCCUCUCUUCCAUUCUUAGUUUUGUUUUUCUUCUGAUGGUUUUGCUCUCCUACUUCCCUGUGCUGGAGCCGAUAACCUGCAGGUGCCCAGACAGGGGGUAUGCUGGCCAGAGCUCCUAGAGCAAGAACUUUUGGUAUACUGAAGCUGAAUGCUAUAAAGAGAGACUCCUGCAAGUCUGAAAACCUAUCUCUGUGGACUACCUAUGCCAUAAGUAGUUUGCACAGGAGUAGGACUGAAUACUGGUCAUACCAAUCACAGGAAGGUGAGGAAACCUGAAAUGUAAGUAUGAAAUGUGCAGCAUUUCUCCGCACAGAACAGAAACCGCACCAAGCCAUGCUUUGUGUUAACUUAAAACUGAAAGGUGUUUCUCAGGGUUCCUUUGCCCUUCAUUGCUGCCACAUAAAAUCUGGGAGAAAGGAUGAUGAAAAGCCUGGGGGAAAGGUUCUCCUGUGAAAUGGACGUGUUCUCUUAAAGUACCAUGUGGCUUUAGCUCUCUGGUACUUAAUGAAUGUUAGAUAAUGUUUGUAAGGAAUCAUAGGACUAAUAAAAGGUAGGAAAGCUUCCCUGGGAGCCUAAAUUAAUGUAAGCAGUUUAGGUUCUGUUUGUGUUUUUAACAACAUUUUGUUUCUAACAGGUGGUUCUUGCUGUUUAUAUUCAAUAAUUUGACACCACUUUACAGAGGAACUUCUUCAGUAUUAUAAAUGAUCAAGGCAAAAGAUGAAUAUUAUUGUCCACAUUGCCACUCUCAAAUUAUUUUUGGAGAUAGAUAUAUCUGUGCAAAAUUAACAAAAGAAAUAAAUUGAAUAAAAAAUAAAUUGAAUAAAAAUGAUUUGCCCAAGAUCAAAGCUAGUUGGCACAACAGCUAGAAUUAUACCAAGGUCUAAGAAAAACAAAAACCCUCAAAGUAAUUCAACUGAAGUUUUGUUCUGCCAUAUCAAGUUGUAUGCUGAGGCUUAUGGUCUUUCAGACAAGCUAAAAUUCCAGAUCAGGCAGUAGCUAUAGUGAAAAGAAAAUUGGAUGGGGCAUUAGGAGAACACAGUGCUAAUUUGGGCUUUGUCUUUCCCCUGAUAAGCCUUUUUUCUCAGCGGUGGCUGCCUUCUCCUAUUCCAGUCUGGGAUUUGCCAACCAUAAACCUCAGUAGUUAGCAACUUGACACUCUCCAUUCUUCAUAUGUAGCUUCUUACUGGCUUCUGUCAGUUCUACUUUGAAUAUUAGUGGCAUCUAUUUCUAAAUGUGUUCAUAGUCAUCACUCUAGUAAAAGACUGUGUUACCUCUUACCCCCUAUCUCACUUCCCCCAACUUUAAGCCAUUCCUCACAUCAGUGCCACAAGAAUGAAAACCAGGUCCCUUGGCCAUUUUUCUGCUGAAAUAUUUCAGCAGUGGCUCCCCUGAAUACUCAAUAAAGUUCAAAACCCUUAGGUGAGCAUUCACAACUUUCCCUAUUCUGGCUCUAGCUUUAUCUCUUCAAACUCAACUACUCACCAACUGACAGUGCCACUGAGAAUCAGACAUUCCAUAAACAUGAUUUUAAGGGUUUUUUUCCCAUGGUGAAAUUAUGAACUGGUAAUAAACUGUUUACAUUUGUAAAAUUCUGUAGUACUGCAUUUUACACAACUGAUCAGCCUAAAAGUUGUUUCUUAAGGAAAAUCUUUUGUCCCUCCAGAAGAAAUUACAUUUAAUUAACCCCUAAAAUUGUCAGUUUUGUCACCUGUGCAUCUGAUAGCCAGAGCAUGGGGAUUUCUCUUCAGCAGCAUAGAUACUCCAGCCUUGAAUGGACCAUUGUCUAGCUCCUGUGAGAAACCUGACUAAUAAAUAUUUGAGAAAAACAACUCAAGAAUAUAUGUUAUUCAUACAUUUCUCAAGUACUUGAGAUUUUCUUGUAUUAUGGUCAAUCAUUAAAAAGAUGUUUACCUGGGUUUCAUUAAUUAAACCCUCUAAGAUAUUUUCCGUUUUAUUGUUAAACCCUUGAUGUUAGCAAGGGUCAGCACAAGAAAAGGCCCAAUGGUGAGAAUAUCUACAAAUUCUGUAAAGCUUACUGAAUUAAUUGUGUUGUUGAGUGGUGCUUGUAUAAGGAAACAUGCAAUAAAUUCAUUCAACAAAUACUGAAUUGAAUGCCUGUUGUGUGUUGCAUACCAGGGCCACCAUACAUAGAAAAAUCUUAGACCUAUGGAAUCUACCCUUGUUAAAUCAUUCAAGCUAAUGAAUUCAGGUACGUAAAGCAAGUAAAUCACAGUAACACGUGGUUAGUACCUUAAAAGAAGAAUAAACAAAGUAGGAUGAAGGCACAGAAGAUGGAGUGAUUUGCUGCCUGGAAGAGAAGGGGAAAGCUUGGUAAGAGGAAGGCGUUUGACAGGAUUUUGACCAAGGUCUCCUAUACCCAAGCUCAUGUACUUUUCUUGAUGCCUGGAAGAAGGUUAUGGCUGACUGGAGGAAGCUGUGGGCUUCGAGGUGGCAGAGGAGUUCCAUGUACAAAGGAUUGAAAACAUGAAAGAACGUAGUGUGCUCAGAGAAAACCAAGGAGCUAAACUUGAGAGUGAUGAAGAUGGAAGUGUAGACUGGGGUGGUUAUACAUGUUUUUAACUUAAUAAUUCUUUGUUUAAAGGAAUCGAUCUGUUGGUUUGUAUCAGAAAAGACUGGUAGAACCCUAGGAGUUCUUCCUUUUGCCUUCCUUGCCAAGGAAGUUAGUAAACCUCACCUUGCUGGAGUGUGUGGCAUAUUUGACAUAUUUGCUUUCCUUUCCCACAUGCAAGAAAUGAUUUGUGCUUGCGUGUCUCUCCGCUGUGAGAUCCCCUACUUCAUACUGAAUGCCUGUUUUCGUCCUGUCAUCCUAUUCAUUCCAUAAAUAUUGAAAACCCACUGAGAAAAUAAAUAGCCAUGAAACUUACCUGUUAGUGCCCAAGACUUUCAUGGUCCAGUUUCCCAUUUCUACACUACUUCUUAACCACUACAAUUCACUGGCUUCAUUCAGUUGUGGCAAAUUCUGCAAUGUUCUUCAUAGCUAUAAACUUCUUCCAUUUGUGGUGAUACGAUCUUACCAACUAGAUUUUAAGCUGCUUUCAGGACAGGGACUAGAUCAUCUGCUUGUUAGAAUAUUUUAUCACUUAAAAUAACAGUGAUGAGAAGAGGGAAAGAAAUGAUACGCCCCAAGAAACUUCAGGGUAAUGAAUUAUGAGGGCCUAGCACGUCUGUUGUGCCAUACGUAUCUCGGUGGAUAUGUAUGGAAAUGUGAAAAAGCCUUCUAAGAUCUAUCAGACCUUUGCUCAGUACUCACUUUUGUAUAUUAACUUAGGACGGAGUGAUGCAACAGAAGAAAUCUGGAAAACACCUCCAAGACUUGGGAGCCAUGAAUUGGACAUUUAAGCAUUUGGAGAGACACAGCGAGAGGGAACGCAAGCAGGGGGAGUGGGAGAGGGAGAAGCAGGCUUCCCACCGAGCAGGGAACCCGAAGUGGGGCUCGAUCCCACGAACUGAGCCAAAGUUAGCUGCUUAACUGAGCCACCCAGACGCCCCGGAGUAAAUCUUUUUCAUCUCUGAUUUGGUCCAUCAUCUGACCUGAAGACUACAACUCUGAUUUCAGAGUUAUUAAUUAGAAGCAAUGAAUUGAACAGAACUAAGACUCAACCUUGAGGAAGCUCUGUCCUGCUUUUCUAAUUAACAAUCUGGUAAGAUAUACUAAACAUGCUCCUUAUCACCUUAUUAACAACAUUUAUUAUUCUGAAUGAAAUGAUGGAUAAGUCAUGCAUAACUAAGAAUUUUAGGCUGAUUUUUUUAAAACAACAAUCAUUAAAUAUGCAUUAUAAAUAUUCAACUUUAUUUUAAAAGAAUUGGAAGAUGUUACAUAUAUUACACACUACAUAUAAUGGCACAUGUCAGCCUUUUAAGCUUAAAAAUAAUCUUUCCCCAAACUGGGAUUGACUUAGACUCCAAGUAUAAAAUGACUCUUGGCCUAUAGCACCAACCCAGGCCCAGAGGAAAGCCAAUUUUGAACCUGUCUUCCUUGGGCAUUGGGCCUCUGAUAUGACAGGGAGGGUCCUCUCCCUCUGGUUUUGUUCCCUGGCAGUACUGAGGCCUGGCACAGGAACCCAUUUGACUAUACAUUGCAGGCCUGAGAAAUCAGGGAAUCUAGUGGGGUAGGGUCCUCUAACAAUUUUACAAUGGGGAAAAAAAAAUUAUGUGCCUUAUUGUCUUCGAUUUUGAUCUAUACACCUACAACAAGACUCUACAAGAUAGAAGAUUAGAAUUACUGAAAUACAAUUUCUCUGCUGGUUUUCGUCUUUGGAAAUUAAUGUGUCAUGAUAGGAGGAGCCUUAAAAAUAAUCUGGUUCAACACUGGUAACCUGCUCUACCAGUAUCUCAGAUUUAGGUAUAAUUCAAAGAUUUAAAUGCCAUCCAUAUGCCAUUUUGUUAGAUAAACACAAAGAAAUUUAAUAACACUUUUCAUUUUCUUUUUCUUAAUUCAUAAGGACAAUUCCGCCAAAUGUUCUGGCUUAUGGCUCUCCUCCUCUUCAUAGUAUGUUUAAGUUACAUAUUAAGAAUCCAAAAAAUACCACUGUGGAAUUUUCAUAAGCAAUAUCCAGCCAAUCAGUAAAACACAGUACACAGUGUGAAAAUUUUAAUUUAUUCCCCUCCCAAGUAUCCAGAAUAUAUACCCUCUUAGCUUUGAGAAAUGUGACAAUGAAAAUACCAACAGGAUUGAUUGUAUAUAAAGAAAAGCACAUACUACACAGGAGACAUCCCUAAGUCCUCCCUUACCUAGCAGUGCAAGUUAAUGGUAUGUUUCUGGCAAUGUCACCUUUCACUUGAUUUAUAAAAAUUUUAAAGGACAUAUUUAAAGCAAAGAUAGGCCUCUGAUUUUUAUUUUUAUUUUUUUAUCCCUAACAGAUUUUUUAAAAAGAGGCUAUAUUAAAUGACAAUGCAUUUUGAGUCAGGGGGAGAAAAAAAAAAUUAAAAACCCAAAACUUCUCUCAGUUUAUUCAAAAUAAAAAUACACAUAGAAUUAUGAAAAUAUAGGUUUACUAUUUCCAC
Long non-coding RNA from Mustela lutreola (European mink), 6079 nucleotides. RefSeq lists it as uncharacterized. The transcript is spliced from 3 exons. NCBI's taxonomy places the organism in Eukaryota, Metazoa, Chordata, Mammalia, Carnivora, Mustelidae. The record is from RefSeq and is a predicted model, not a curated record.